GAUGAACGCUGGCGGCGUGCCUAAUACAUGCAAGUCGAGCGAACAGACGAGGAGCUUGCUCCUCUGACGUUAGCGGCGGACGGGUAAGUAACACGUGGAUAACCUACCUAUAAGGCUGGGAUAACUUCGGGAAACCGGAGCUAAUACCGGAUAAUAUAUUGAACCGCAUGGUUCAAUAGUGAAAGACGGUUUUGCUGUCACUUAUAGAUGGAUCCGCGCCGCAUUAGCUAGUUGGUAAGGUAACGGCUUACCAAGGCGACGAUGCGUAGCCGACCUGAGAGGGUGAUCGGCCACACUGGAACUGAGACACGGUCCAGACUCCUACGGGAGGCAGCAGUAGGGAAUCUUCCGCAAUGGGCGAAAGCCUGACGGAGCAACGCCGCGUGAGUGAUGAAGGUCUUCGGAUCGUAAAACUCUGUUAUUAGGGAAGAACAAAUGUGUAAGUAACUAUGCACGUCUUGACGGUACCUAAUCAGAAAGCCACGGCUAACUACGUG
RNAcentral lists this ribosomal RNA (497 nucleotides) under uncultured bacterium. RNAcentral describes it as "partial 16S ribosomal RNA". It matches the Rfam family "Bacterial small subunit ribosomal RNA", at positions 28 to 507 of the family's 1533-position model. The record is from RNAcentral.